Lolium rigidum is the source of this 1438-nucleotide long non-coding RNA. RefSeq lists it as uncharacterized. The record is from RefSeq and is a predicted model, not a curated record. Lineage: Eukaryota; Viridiplantae; Streptophyta; Magnoliopsida; Poales; Poaceae. The transcript is spliced from 6 exons.
GGAGGAAUAGGGGAGAAGAGGAGGGAGCCGGAGCGCUCAACGCCUCCCACUCCCACAGCAGAGGCGGCAGCUGUAGGGGGGGUUGCGAGCGCUCACCCUGAUUGGAGCACAGUUUCCUAUCCCUCAUUGGAGCAUGUCAGUAUUUGUUAUUUGUGCAUGUUCUUCCCUGGAGAUUCGAUCUGGGUGAGGUGAGCCAGAAUGUCAGGGAAGGGAAGGUCUCUGACGAUGCUCCAGAACCAUCUUGCCGCCUCCACCGUGGAAGGGGGCCGGAGACGACGACUAUGACUCCUCCCCAGCAACCACAGUAUAGCUGGGCUCCCAGGUGUAUUCUUCUUCUUCUUGAAGUCCACUCUUUCUUGAUUUUUUUGGCCUCUUGAGAGUGGCUCUUUCGAUUGCUUGCAGGCCCUUACCCAGGGAUACCAUGUACAUGUAUAAAGACGAGGACUUGCAACUCGGACCCGAGCAUGUCGGCGGUGAAGUUGGGUGCCCAGCCACGCUCUCCUCUUAAUUGGUGUAUGUGUUUUUUCUUGGAUUCCACUGUGUUGAGAGUUUGGUUUCUUGCAGACUCCGACCAGGAUAGCCAGAUCGCAAAGAGGGCGACAAUCAUACUACUCAUCGUCCUGCAGAGCAUAGGUGCUCUUGAAUGAAGAUCCAGGGCUGAUAAAAAUGAAGCCCAUGUCGAGGUUGCAUUUGGACAAGUGAACCCUUCAAUUGCAAGAUCCUUUCUCACCCAUAAAAGCUCUUCAUCAAACAAUGAAAUUGAAGCUGACAUUUCAAGAAAGGCUCCAUUCAGUUCUAUGAUCCAGGCAUUCCGGUACAUGUCAAUAGAGAAUCUGAAGCUAUAACUCUUAUAAAGGCUCAUGUAUGGUGUGUUGCCUCUUUAUCUUGGAGCUAUUGUGGGAUCUGAUGAAUAUAUGGACAGAGAAGAUGGUUUAAGUUCAUUUCCUCAAUAGUCAUGUUUCGCAUUGAUCUUAUCAGAUCUCUAGCACUUCUCCGUCGUAAAAACUUUGGCUUCCAAUUAAACAGCAACUACAUUACAUGUGCAUGCAAUUUUGUUUUGGUAAGGCCAGCUUUUCGUCAAAUCCAAACAGACUCAUAGUUUGCAAGUUAUCUAGAAACUCUUUGUGCCUGCUAAAUAUAAAUAUUUAGAGGAUGUGCCUUUUUGUCCGACAGUGUGCAUUGCAUGCUAAACACAUAUCACUCCUCGACCUACUUCUCGCCUGACAGCCUGGAUCAAGCUUGAGAAGAGCAUCAUUGCCAAGUGAAGACGGGAGUGGCUAAAAUAGAGUUCGUGCAUGGAGUUAGAACAUUGUGUAAACGUAUAUUAUCAAAACUAGCAAGUCUACUAUUAUAGUGUGCGUGUUUACCAUAUUUCUCUAUGCCCUCCCACUAUUGGUGUAUACCAUUUACCUAUUUCUCAAGGUUAACUUUUUAUGCA